This 454-nucleotide ribosomal RNA is filed under the name uncultured bacterium. Its description in RNAcentral is "bacterial SSU rRNA". It matches the Rfam family "Bacterial small subunit ribosomal RNA", at positions 28 to 507 of the family's 1533-position model. The record is from RNAcentral.
GGUGAACGCUGGCGGCGUGCCUAACACAUGCAAGUCGAGCGGUGCAGUUUGAAGCUUCGGUGGAAAGCUGCAUAGCGGCGGACGGGUGAGGAAAACGUAGGAACGUGCCCCUUGGAGUUGGAUAGCCACGGGAAACUGUGGGUAAACCGACAUAGACUCGAGAGAGUAAAGGCCGAAAGGCGCCAAGGGAGCGGCCUGCGGCCCAUCAGGUAGUUGGUAGUGUAAAGGCUUACCAAGGCGACGACGGGUAGCCGGUCUGAGAGGACGAUCAGCCACACUGGGACUGAGACACGGCCCAGACUCCUACGGGAGGCAGCAGUGGGGAAUCUUGCGCAAUGGGGGCAACCCUGACGCAGCCAUGCCGCGUGAACGAUGAAGGCCUUAGGGUUGUAAAGUUCUUUUAACCCGUGACGAUGAUGACGUAACGGGGGAAUAAGCUCCGGCUAACUUCGUG